UUACAACAUCUCAGAAUUUAUAUCUCUUUUUUAGUUAAAACAACAAAAUAUGUUUUCAGAUACCUGAAUUUUCCUGGGUUUCUAGAAAAACCGACCCUUUCUGCCCCCUCCCUUUCUAACCCCCUUUUGUGGUCCACCGGGUUGUUUUAAGCAAAACCAAACAACCCCUCCAAAAAAAGCAAACGAAAAAUUCCGGGUAAAGUCAACUAUGCCGAGAUCACGCUUUCGUUGAAGCUGCCCUAAGACCAAAGAAGCUGAGACCGACCUUGAAGGAUUAGCGAUUUCUGUAACUGAAAUGUUGUAAUUUUACUGAGGUUUGGUAGAGACGCAACAAGUCCAGUUGAGGGCAGUUUUGUUGGGUAUGGAAUGCAGUCAGUGUGUGAAAUUGGACAUAAGAAUAGAUACACAUAUUGCUGAUGAGAAGCCUUUUGUGGAGAUUUGUGAAGCAAGAUAGAACUUGUGUUCAAAUUCUGAAGCUACAGGUUAAAACAGGCAAGUUUUUUUUCAUGUUUCCUUGAGGAAAAUUCAAAAACACGGAAGUUAAGCUGAAGGCUAGACCUGGCAGUCACCACAUUGGCAAAGUAAUCCAGUCUAGCAUCCCCAAUAGUGGAACAACACAUGUGUCUCCAUGAGAUUUUGGUGCCUAAACUCAGGAUCAUUCUUAUC
This is a long non-coding RNA of Hyaena hyaena (striped hyena), 666 nucleotides long. RefSeq lists it as uncharacterized. The transcript has 4 exons. The record is from RefSeq and is a predicted model, not a curated record. Lineage: Eukaryota; Metazoa; Chordata; Mammalia; Carnivora; Hyaenidae.